AAAACGUUAGUAAUGUAGUCACACAUUUCCAACACAUCACACGUCAUGUGUGAUGAAUACGUGUUGUGACGGCCCCAGGGCCCUCUACACGCUGUGUCUGUCUGGCAGGUCCCUGGGUGGCUGGGGGCCGUUAGGAGACGCCCAACCUGAAGACAAACGGGGACGUGGUGGUUUAUGUCGUUUGUUCCUUCUUGGUUUCUAUUUAUGGAAUGAAACUUUUUGUUUUAAUACUGGCUGUAAUCAUUGGGGAGCAAGACCGUAACAACGUGAACAUUUACACGUCUGACUACUGCAUGAAAGUAGUAAGACUUCCCGGGUCAGGCCAAGACCAGCGCACGGCUGGUUCACCCACUGGUUAACAACAUUUUAACUUUCACAAUUGAAACAGUAUUUGGCUUGAAAGGUAAGCAGCUAGCUAUGACUGUUUCACUUGCUGUUAGAACGCCCUGACGUUCUCUCCUUGUUGAGCAGCACUACUUUAGGAAAGACGGCGUAGGACCAGAGGAUCACCUUCCUCCUGGACCCGGCUGGGACGCUGAGGACAAUACGUGCUUUCAUUUCAACUCUUUCAGUGGCAGAAAUGUCUUCCACAGCGUCCUCCUGUGGUUAAUAUUAAGUUUAUACUAAACAACCAGGUUCAGUGAUGGUUCAGGGUCAUAACUUGUCUACCUGAACGAGUCCGUAAAACGAUCCGGUCUUCCCGUUAAUAAUUCUCCAUUCUUUCUCUAUCAGCCCUUCAGUCCAUUUAGUCGCUUCUGAUGUGAUUUGUUAGUCUAUUUUUCACAUCGUCCCCAUUACAGACCUCCUUGUAGUCAGUCUCCUUCCCGCCAGUGAAAUGUCCUGCAAAUAACCGUGUGACAAAGUGGGAGACAACUCACCUUUGUGAGUGAGUGUGUGUUGGUGUGUGUGUUGGAUGCUUGCCUUGCUCGGCAGGUGUGCUGGAGGCUAGAGGGGAGGGGCAGGCCGUGAUGUCAGCAGUGACAUCAGCGGGUUGGACCAGGUAUACGGGGGGGAGGGGGGGGUCGUAAUGGGUGUCACCUGUGCACAUGGUGCAACCCGGGCCGGGUUGAUGAAGGUGCAGGACAUUGACUGUUGGGGGGAAAAUGGUGGAACAUGUGUGUAGCUGAGGGCGCGUGUCAGAUGAGCUUAUGUUGAGAUUAUUCAGUUAAUGAAUUAGGUUUUGUUUUGUUGUUUGUGUUUAUGAGACGCGUAUCAGGGACCUUCCUUUUUUUUUGUCUCGUUGCCGGCCUCCUAAUUCCAGGAUUCUCUCGGCCGUGGCAUCCUCGCAAACUACAAGCGACUAAGGGCCAAAGGGGCAGAGGUCAAUAUCUGCUUCCUACACAAGCCUUAGCCUGACGGCUAAAAAAAGGAAUCAUGCUACCUGACAUCUUAGCAGGUAACAUGUCCGUGUUCAUCAUGUGUUGGUGUGGGAUGAAGCGUGUCAGUGACUCUGGACCAACGUGGUCGAGCGUCUUAUAUUUCAUAGUGGCUGUUUAGGGGGGAAAGGAAAGAGCACAAGACAAACGAUGUCUGUGACCUCGUCAGGGAAGGGAAAUAGAUCUGAAAUGGGUGUCGAUAAAUAGGGUGUCGCGUGCGGCUGACGCCAACUAGCUCCACGUAUGACUCACGUCUGCCUAUGUGGCCUUUGCAUAGAGGUCACUGCAGUGGACAGAUAUUCAACUGUUGUUUUCUUGUAUUUCAUGGGUUAUGAUGUCACACAUCAGCCACCACAGUGGAGGCCAUUGCAUCGUCCCACACGCUGCCCCCCAGUGGCAGGCAGUUGUAAGAGCAAGAUACAUUUCUCCAAACCGAGAUGGCUGACAGUCAGUCAGUCAGUCAUCGAUAUUUUGCCAAUCCUUCUAUACAAAGAGACCCUUGGAGGUAUACACGUGUUGGUGACAUCAAGUAACAUCUAAGGAAUUCAUAAAUGUUUCAAGUAUAGAAUUCAUAUUGGGAGGAAAAUAUGACUAAUUAUCUGUCCACUAAAUUCACUAAUGUCAUUCAAGUGGACAUGUUAAAUUAUCUUGAAAAAAUUUGAUUAAAAAAAAAAGUUCAAAUCUUGACGAAUAAAACACUUGGUAAAUCUUAAUUCAUGCAUGAAAAGGAUAUGGUGACGGGUUCCAAUAUCAAGCUAACGAUUGAUGACGCUAGCAUGCUGUCUAGGGUAGUGCUAGGCUAGGCUAAUGUUUAGUCAGUCUAGUAGCUUGCUGUCUAGGGUAGUGCUAGGCUAAUGUUUAGUCAGUCUAGUAGCUUGCGGUCUAGGGUAGUGCUAGGCUAAUGUUUAGUCAGUCUAGUAGCUUGCGGUCUAGGGUAAUGCUAGGCUAGGCUAAUGUUUAGUCAGUCUAGUAGCUUGCUGUCUAGGUAGUGCUAAGCUAGGCUAAUGUUUAGUCAGUCUAGUAGCUUGCUGUCUAGGUAGUGCUAAGCUAGGCUAAUGUUUAGUCAGUCUAGUAGCUUGCUGUCUAGGGUAGUGCUAGGCUAGGCUAAUGUUUAGUCAGUCUAGUAGCUUGCUGUCUAGGGUAAUGCUAGGCUAGGCUAAUGUUUAGUCAGUCUAGUAGCUUGCUGUCUAGGGUAGUUCUAAGCUAGGAUAAUGUUUAGUCAGUCUAGUAGCUUGCUGUCUAGGGUAGUGCUAGGCUAGGCUAAUGUUUAGUCAGUCUAGUAACUUGCUGUCUAGGGUAAUGCUAGGCUAGGCUAAUGUUUAGUCAGUGUAGUAGCUUGGCGUAGAAAGAGGGACAUUGGGAGCUUAUAUGUUUGUACUUAGCUUAUCAAGAGAGAGAAAGAGUAAUGCUGUAUCUUCUCCAUGUGGAUUUAAUAAUGCUAUAUUAAUUACUGACUGCAGAUAAUAUAGUUAGCCAGGCUAUGACAGUAGUAUGUCCACAUUGUCUUAUUCUGUUCAACAAUUUAUAUCAGGGGUUGUAUUGAUAAUGAAUCUUACUACGAGGACGUGGUGGACGUAUAGUCACACUGCUUUUAAAUGUGAUUGUCUUUGUGCCUUUUGUAUGUUCAUGCUGGUGUUGUACGCCACCUCCACCUCCUCAUCACUGGCCAGUCUGUGCACAUUCAUCCUCCUCUUCUGUCUGUGGCUUUCAUAUAUUGAGUGAAUUAAUAAUGAGUGCUCGACCAUGCUUUAAUGUCAGCUUUCACUCUUCGUUCCUCAUUCUCUGUUUAUUCUGCUUUUGGGAGGGUUUUUUACCGCCUGCCUGAGUACACGUUCCUCCCAUUUCAAAAACUAUUUUUUAAAGCAUUUCUGAAUGGAAAUGAAUGACCAAUUUUAAUGGUUUCCUUCAAACACUUUGACCAGAUGUACAGUUAUUGCAACAUAUAAAAUAAAGUACACCACAAUUUGAACAUGUUUUUUAAUAGUCUUUAUUUAUGCCUUCAUCUCUUACACAAGACAUUUCCUAUCAAGACACUAUUAUAUUACCCACAAACCAUGAACGACGCUUCGGUAGUCUUGGCCAUGCAUGGACACGGUUACCAUCCAUCGGCCAGCGAGUUGACCGUGUCACCAACCCACCGACAGCAAUGAAUGUGAACUGGGAACCUGCUGUUUCACGUGGAGUCGUCCCAGCGAGGAGCCAUCCGUGAUGCUGUGGGUAGAUCCGUGGAAGCAGCCGAUGAGGCGUACAUCAUGUGUCCCAACCCUUCAGAGCACCGGUCUAAGUGGUCUGAGGUGGUCCGACCCCGGUGGUCUACCAAGGGCUGUUGCUACUGAACAAGUGAACGAGCUGCUUUCCUUCCGAUCCCUUUUUGAAUGACAGUUGGUUGUGUUUCAUUUCCCACAAUGCAGCUGUGCCAGAGAGAGACCCCUUCCACCCAACGUCACAUUGCAUA
Molecule: long non-coding RNA, 3831 nt
Organism: Gasterosteus aculeatus aculeatus (three-spined stickleback)
Lineage: Eukaryota; Metazoa; Chordata; Actinopteri; Perciformes; Gasterosteidae
Source: Ensembl